AGAGAAUUGCUUGAACCUGGGAGGUGGAGGUUGCAGUGAGCUGAGAUUGUACCACUGCACUACAGCCUGGGUGACAGAC
RNAcentral lists this small nuclear RNA (79 nucleotides) under Homo sapiens (human). Its description in RNAcentral is "partial ncRNA". Lineage: Eukaryota; Metazoa; Chordata; Mammalia; Primates; Hominidae. The record is from RNAcentral.